CGCAUAGGGCGGGGGCUCCG
This 20-nucleotide unclassified non-coding RNA is filed under the name Mus musculus (house mouse). Its description in RNAcentral is "oocyte_clustered_small_RNA4831". Lineage: Eukaryota; Metazoa; Chordata; Mammalia; Rodentia; Muridae. The record is from RNAcentral.